UUUACAAGUGGAUCUCAAAAUUCUAUCUUUUCUAGAGUUAUUAGUCUUCAAACUCUGAAACUUUUAUUAUAUUUUUUAGUAAAUACAUUUUUCAUUCACAAUACAUCUGGCAUAUAAUGAUCGUAUUAAUGUUAUAUGGAUAAGGAUAAAUUUGUCGGUUUUCAUGAGCUAAAUUGACACCGAGUCAUCUCCACAAUGGCUAAAUUUAUUUGGUACAAAUUUGACUGAUUUGGUACAUAAGAAUGUAAUCAUGUCAGCUUAAGGAAUGUUUUUCAGAUGUUCAGACUCAUUUGGUUUUUGAUACGAUACAGGGUAAAUCAUUUUGACCCAUAUCACCCACUUUCCUUUUCACCAAAGACUGCAAUAG
This 367-nucleotide long non-coding RNA is filed under the name Mytilus galloprovincialis (Mediterranean mussel). The record is from RNAcentral. Lineage: Eukaryota; Metazoa; Mollusca; Bivalvia; Mytilida; Mytilidae.